GGGAUGACACAGUAGGAUAAGCUAAGCACACUGUUGGUUAUGUGUGCCCAAGCAUUGAGGCAGUCAAAGUAGGCAAAUCCGCUUUGAUAAUGCUGGGAUGUGAUGGGGAGCGAAAUUUAGUAGCGAAGUAGCUGAUUUCACACUGUCAAGAAAAGUCUCUAUCGAGGUUAAAGGUACCCGUACCGCAAACCGACACAGGUGGGUGAGGAGAGUAUCCUAAGGCCAGCGAGAGAACUGUUGUUAAGGAACUCGGCAAAAUGACCCCGUAACUUAGGGAUAAGGGGUGCCACCAUCAGGUGGCCGCAGAGAAUAGGCCCAAGCGACUGUUUACCAAAAACAUAGGUUUCUGCUAAGUCGCAAGACGAUGUAUAGGAGCUGACGCCUGCCCGGUGCUGGAAGGUUAAGGGGAUCUGUUAGAGCAAUCGAAGCAGUGAACUUAAGCCCCAGUAAACGGCGGCCGUAACUAUAACGGUCCUAAGGUAGCGAAAUUCCUUGUCGGGUAAGUUCCGACCCGCACGAAAGGCGUAACGAUUUGGGCACUGUCUCAACAACAGACUCGGUGAAAUUGUAAUUCCGGUGAAGAUGCCGGAUACCUGCGACAGGACGGAAAGACCCCAUGGAGCUUUACUGUAGCUUGACAUUGGGUCUUGGUACUACAUGUACAGGAUAGGUGGGAGGCUUUGAAACCAGGACGCCAGUUUUGGCGGAGCCAUCCUUGGGAUACCACCCUUGUAGUACUGGG
This 742-nucleotide ribosomal RNA is filed under the name Clostridioides difficile. RNAcentral's name for it is "partial 23S ribosomal RNA". It matches the Rfam family "Bacterial large subunit ribosomal RNA", at positions 1466 to 2218 of the family's 2925-position model. Lineage: Bacteria; Bacillati; Bacillota; Clostridia; Peptostreptococcales; Peptostreptococcaceae. The record is from RNAcentral.